RNAcentral lists this ribosomal RNA (465 nucleotides) under uncultured bacterium. RNAcentral describes it as "partial 16S ribosomal RNA". It matches the Rfam family "Bacterial small subunit ribosomal RNA", at positions 338 to 795 of the family's 1533-position model. The record is from RNAcentral.
CCUACGGGAGGCUGCAGUAAGGAAUCUUGGUCAAUGGCCGAAAGGCUGAACCAGCCAUGCCGCGUGAGUGAAGAAGGCCUUCGGGUUGUAAAGUUCUGUUAUAAGGGAAGAAAGGUGAUAGUAGGAACUGCCUAUCAAUUGACGGUACCUUAUGAUAAAGCCACGGCUAACUACGUGCCAGCAGCCGCGGUAAUACGUAGGUGGCAAGCGUUAUCCGGAAUUAUUGGGCGUAAAGAGCGCGCAGGUGGUUAAAUAAGUCUGAUGUGAAAGCCCACGGCUUAACCGUUGAGGGUCAUUGGAAACUGGUGGACUUGAGUGCAGAAGAGGGAAGUGGAAGUCCAUGUGUAGCGGUGAAAUGCGUAGAGAUAUGGAGGAACACCAGUGGCGAAGGCGGCUUCCUGGUCUGCAACUGACACUGAGGCGCGAAAGCGUGGGGAGCAAACAGGAUUAGAUACCCGAGUAGUC